CACACACACACACACACACACACACACACACACACACAGAACAGAGUGCGUCCAGCCACUGCAGGUGUGUGUGUGUCGGUCACUGCUGUGAUGACCUUUGACCUUCAGUGAACACUGAUAAUCACUUUAGUGUCUGAUGAGUGAGACUGCAUCUGCUGUAUGUCUCAUCAACACAAACACGAGUGUGGUUUAUAUCCACGGGCGAGUCAAGUGUACAGAUGGAGGAUCGCAACAUGUUGCGUCUGAUGGAGAGGGAGAGACGCAGUCAGGAGGUGCAGCUGGAGGAGACGCAGUAUGACAGAAUCGCUCCUCUCUUCAACAAGCCGUAUAAGAGAAUCAAAGAUGACGAGCUGUCGAGUCGCAUCCAGACGAUGCUGGGUAAUUAUGAGGAUGGAUAUGAUGGACCUGAGGACGCUGCGCUUCCUUACGAGCGCUCCACGCAGUUCCCUCAGGCGCAGUCAGGACACACGGAUCGCUCCAGAGCCGCCUCCGGCCCUGCUUCAGGAGAGAGCUGGGACAGUUUCCCAGCCCUGUCUCCUCUGCGGUCCAGCGACUCGGACACCGGCCCGUCUCCGGAGCGGCCUCCGCUGAACCUGCACAGUAAACUGGCGAAGGCCAAGAAACCCACAGCGUACGUGAGGCCGAUGGACGGUCCGGAUCAGGUGACCAGCGACUCUCCUGAACUGAAGGCCUCACUGGAGUCGUAUGAGCACUUACAGGACCUGAAGGAGAGCAGCAAACCAAACCUUGCCCCUCUGCAGGCUGCUGAUAUAGUGUCUGGAGCGCGUGUGGAGGACAUUCUGCAGGAAAUGACCUCAUGGCCUCCACUGCUGACGACCAUUUGCUCGCCAACCACAGCCGAGCCGCCCAAGGUCCUCUCCACUAACGAGGAGACACAUGGAUUACCGGCCCUCGAAGCUCAUGAAUCAUCAGACAAAGUUCAGCUGGAAUCUCAGUGAGUAUCAGAUCAGAUCUUUGUCUUGAGCUCAUGUGAAGGUGCUACAAAAAGGUCAAGAUGAAGAUUUCUCCCCUCUCUCUUCAGCUACUGUUUUAACUUUACUCUGUGUGUGUGUGUGUGUGUGUGUGUGUGUGUGUGUGCGCGCGCGCGCGUGCACCUGUGUGUGUGUGCACCUGUGUGUGUGUGCACCUGUGUGUGUGUG
Long non-coding RNA from Sinocyclocheilus anshuiensis, 1160 nucleotides. Ensembl annotates it as AF4/FMR2 family member 1-like. The record is from Ensembl. NCBI's taxonomy places the organism in Eukaryota, Metazoa, Chordata, Actinopteri, Cypriniformes, Cyprinidae.